AGCAGCCGCGGUAAUUCCAGCUCCAAUAGCGUAUAUUAAAGUUGUUGCAGUUAAAAAGCUCGUAGUUGAAUUUCGGGGUCAGUAGGUCGGUCGUGCCACUGGUAUGAACUGGUUUUACUGAUUCCUCCCUCUUGAAGAACUGUAAUGCCAUUAAUUUGGUGUUGCAGGGAAUCAGGACUGUUACUUUGAAAAAUUAGAGUGUUUAAAGCAGGCUUUAGCUUGAAUACAUUAGCAUGGAAUAAUGAAAUAGGACGUUUAGAUCCUAUUUUGUUGGUUUCUAGGAUUGACGUAAUGAUUAAUGGGAUAGU
Molecule: unclassified non-coding RNA, 308 nt
Filed under: uncultured Entrophospora
Lineage: Eukaryota; Fungi; Glomeromycota; Glomeromycetes; Entrophosporales; Entrophosporaceae
Description: SSU rRNA
Rfam family: Eukaryotic small subunit ribosomal RNA
Source: RNAcentral